Limulus polyphemus (Atlantic horseshoe crab) is the source of this 571-nucleotide long non-coding RNA. RefSeq lists it as uncharacterized. The record is from RefSeq and is a predicted model, not a curated record. The transcript is spliced from 4 exons. Lineage: Eukaryota; Metazoa; Arthropoda; Merostomata; Xiphosura; Limulidae.
UUCACAUUCUCAGCUUUCUCAACAGUGACCUCCUCGAGAAGAAACCUGCCACUGGUUGUAGAGGGAGAGAACAAUCUAUUUACCCAAAACAAUUUUAAAACUAGAAACUGGCCAUGAAGCUUGAACUUGUUUUUGCAGUCGCUGUAAUAAGCCUAAUGGUCGUCAUACCCGUAACUUCGUAUAAUGACGAUCUACCCAUCUACAAAUGGAGUCCUUUGGUUUUUCGUGGUUUUAAGAAGAAUGACUAUAAGUUCUGUGCGACUGAGUAUACCGAAUGUGGGCAGAAGAGAACCCAGUUUGGCUAUCUAAUCCGGCAGCCAUGCUGUAAGGGUCUUAUUUGCGAACAAGUUGGCCGACGACAGCUGUGUAUAACACGAUGGCGCUGGGAAAAUACUAACGAAGUGUACUAUCCUUGAAUUAAUGGAAAAUAUUCAGGGCUGCAAAAAACCGAAGUCUACGAAGUCAUAUUUUAACUCAUUUUGCGUAUGCUUUGUCUUACCAACAGAAAUACUGUCAUGUAUGUAAUAUGUGUUUGUUGAAUAAAACCAAAUUUUUGUCUGGGCUAUUCUUA